AGGACGAACGCUGGCGGCGUGCUUAACACAUGCAAGUCGAACGGAAAGGCCCGCUUGCGGGUACUCGAGUGGCGAACGGGUGAGUAACACGUGGGCAACCUGCCCUCAGCUCUGGGAUAACUCCGGGAAACCGGUGCUAAUACUGGAUAUCGACUUCUGCCUCGCAUGGGGUGUUGUUGAAAGUUUUUCGGCUGGGGAUGGGCCCGCGGCCUAUCAGCUUGUUGGUGGGGUGAUGGCCUACCAAGGCGACGACGGGUAGCCGGCCUGAGAGGGCGACCGGCCACACUGGGGACUGAGACACGGCCCAGGACUCCUACGGGAGGCAGCAGUGGGGAAUAUUGCGCAAUGGGCGGAAGCCUGACGCAGCGACGCCGCGUGAGGGAUGACGGCCUUCGGGUUGUAAACCUCUUUCAGCUCUGACGAAGCGAGAGUGACGGUAGGAGCAGAAGAGCACGGCCAACUACGUGCCAGCAGCCGCGGU
RNAcentral lists this ribosomal RNA (481 nucleotides) under uncultured bacterium. RNAcentral's name for it is "SSU rRNA". It matches the Rfam family "Bacterial small subunit ribosomal RNA", at positions 26 to 521 of the family's 1533-position model. The record is from RNAcentral.